UACGUAGGGUGCGAGCGUUAAUCGGAAUUACUGGGCGUAAAGCGUGCGCAGGCGGUUAUGUAAGACAGAGGUGAAAUCCCCGGGCUCAACCUGGGAACUGCCUUUGUGACUGCAUGACUAGAGUACGGCAGAGGGGGAUGGAAUUCCGCGUGUAGCAGUGAAAAGCGUAGAUAUGCGGAGGAACUCCGAUGGCGAAGGCAAUCCCCUGGGCCUGUUCUGACGCUCAUGCACGAAAGCGUGGGGAGCAAACAGG
This 253-nucleotide ribosomal RNA is filed under the name uncultured bacterium. RNAcentral describes it as "partial 16S ribosomal RNA". It matches the Rfam family "Bacterial small subunit ribosomal RNA", at positions 524 to 776 of the family's 1533-position model. The record is from RNAcentral.